GAUGAAGAACGUAGCGAAAUGCGAUACUUGGUGUGAAUUGCAGAAUCCCGUGAACCAUCGAGUCUUUGAACGCAAGUUGCGCCCGAAGCCAUCAGGUUGAGGGCACGUCUGCCUGGGCGUCACAUAUCGUUGCCCAAUGCCUAUUGCAGUGCAAUAGGAAUUUCUAGGGCGAAUGAUGGCUUCCCGUGAGCGUUGUUGCCUCGCGGUUGGUUGAAAAUCGAGUCCUUGGUAGGGUGUGCCAUGGUAGAUGGUGGUCGAGUUAGAACGAUACCGAUCAUGUGCAUGCUCCCCAAAAUAUGGCCUCUAUGACCCACACACGUCUUUUGACGCUCAUGACGAGACCUCAGGUCAGGCGGGGCUACCCGCUGAAUUUACGCAUAUCAAUAAGCGGAGGA
RNAcentral lists this unclassified non-coding RNA (395 nucleotides) under soil metagenome. Its description in RNAcentral is "partial contains 5.8S ribosomal RNA, internal transcribed spacer 2, and large subunit ribosomal RNA". The stretch from base 1 to 122 matches the Rfam family "5.8S ribosomal RNA", at positions 35 to 154 of the family's 154-position model. The record is from RNAcentral.